Equus asinus (donkey) is the source of this 4181-nucleotide long non-coding RNA. Lineage: Eukaryota; Metazoa; Chordata; Mammalia; Perissodactyla; Equidae. The record is from Ensembl.
CUGCUAGGAACAAGUGUUUAAAACAUUCACGGAUCUUUACAACUCCUUCCAUCAAUAAAGUUCUAGGCACAAAACAAACAUUGACAUCUUUCUCCUCUGAGCUAUCAUCAAACUUUAUUAUUACAUCUCUUCUUUUUUUUUAAGAUUUAUCUAACACUGACUCUGUGCCAAGCACUGUUCCAAGUGCAAUGCAUACCGUGACUCAAUUUAUCCUCACCACAAGCCCAUGAGGCAAGUACUUUAAUGGUCUGGUUCCCAGAUGAGCCAACUGAAGCAGAGAGGUUAAGUAACAUGCCCAAAGUCACCGAGUCCUGAGUUGCCUUUGCAAUUUCCCAUAAAGAGUGGCAGAAUAGAUGACCAUCCUCCCAGCCCAGGAAAUUCUUCAUAUACUUUAGAUAUAGAGUUGCAUAAAAUUAAAAAGCAUUAUUUAUACAUAUUUAAUUGUAAGUUGAACCUAACCGAUAGAGAAAUACACCAAUAAAAUUCUUCACAAUGAUCAGUCUCGGGGAUAACAGCACUUUGCCUCUCCAUCUUCAUCUCCGCUGAAAGAGUUCAAAUCUCUUUGCAAUUAUCAAUUAAUUACACAUCAAUAUUCCUCAGAGGCUAGGCAUUACAGUUAUGAUCUGUUUUAUGGUUAUUUUAUAGCCAUUAAUAGUAAUGAAAAUAAGAACAGUUUCAUGUACUAUACAAUGCAUCACGUAGAGAACAGAAUUAGACACGGUCAUUGUUCAAAGGUUUAAAAUAGAAACUAAAUUUCUAAGAAAUGAUUUAGUAUUUCAUUAUUAGUAACAAUACUUCAAAUUUAUAGAGCAUCUUAUGUUUAAAAGCUUUUCAUGUGUGGUCAAUAGAGCAAACGGAAUCCGCAGCCAGUCAGAUUUGAAUUCAGAUUCUGGUUUCAGCUCUAAUACUGCUCUGGGUGUAAUUUUUAACUGUUUCAUUUUAUUUGAAGUCAUUGAUUCAUAUAGUGGAAAUUCAAAAUUUACAGACUUACAGAAAAAAAAAAUCUCCCCAACUCAGCAGCCUACCUUCUGCUUAGCAACCCACCUCCUCUCCUUGGAGGUAGAACAAAGUUAACACCUUCUUGAUCUCCUUCUACGGGUACUGUAUGCAUAUACGGUACAAGCAAAUGGCACAUACAAUCUUGUACCAUUUUAUACAAAUGAUAGCAUUCUAGACUUAACAGAAAGUUGGAGCUACAGUCCCCUCUCCUGUGAAAGGGCGGUGAGGAGAGACAUCAGAGGUUUAUGAAAACGCCCAAGCCCAGCACCUGGCAUGGAGUUAGCACUCAAUAAAGACAGUGUCCCUUUUCUUACCCAUAAAAAGGCUGUGCAGUAAGGGGUCUUUAGCGCGCCUAAAACUCAUCCAGGGCUUGUUGACCACAGACUGCCUCCCUGCACCCCACUCCAGUUUCCAUUUGGAAGGUCUGGGGUACGCCCUACAUCUGCAUUUCCAGCGAGCUCCCUGAAGCUGCAAAUGCUGCUGGUCAGGGAGCCAACUGGGAACCUCAAGGCAUAGUGGGGACUGAGAUGCCCUAGAUUCCCACGCAGGUUGGGCCACCGGGGCAAAUUACGCUCUGAGCUUCAGUUUUCUUUUUUUCAUACACAAAUGAGACAACUCCCAUGUCAAAGGCUGUUGUGCAGAUUAGAUAAGAUAAAGCACGUGCGCGGGCGUUGCUCAUGGCAAACGCUCACGAAAUGCAACGUGAAAGGGACGUGGAACCGCUAGGAAGGUGGGGGAAGGCAGGGCAAACAGGAACCCGCGGGCCAGAGAAGGGGGCGGGCCUGCCCACCCCGGGGACCAGGCUGGCGUUCGCUGUCCCGGCCGAGCGCAGACCCCACACCUGCGAACCGAGGCUGGGGACGCCCGUUGGAAAGUCCUGAAACACAAAGCACCGCGUCCCAAAAGCCCCUCGACGCAACCCUACGGCGCUUACUGUUUGGACUGCGUGUAAAGAGGGGCGGCCCCUGGUUGCUCCGGACUGAACACGUGGGCGCAGCGGCCGGCCCGCCCCGCAGCCGCGCGGACGUGCUGCGGGCAGCGCGGGCCAUGGCGCAGCGGCGGGCGCGGCCGGAGCCCUGCGGCCCGCCACGAGGGGGCAGCCGUGCGUCUGCGCGCCGCGGCCGGCUGGAACCGGUCUAGCCGGAAGCUGGGGCGGUGCCUCGGCUUCCGCAGUGACGCGCCACGUGGCCGGGUGGCAGGGACCGGGGGGGAAAACAACAAGAUGGCGGCGGCGGGGGCGGGGCUUUGAGGCCGCGUGCCCCUUGAAGGGCGGUGGUCGCGGGGAAGAGCUGGAUGAGCUGAGUGAUGCUGGGGGGCAGGGGCGACGUGGUGCGCUGUCCCUUUGUCCCGCCGCGGAGCCGCGGGGCGCGGGCAGCCGUGCGAGGCAGUGCGGCCCUGGGCACCCCCCGGGGGUCACCGCGGCCCCAAGCUGCUCAGUCCGGGCCGGGUCCCCUUUGUCCCUGCGGACUGGGACCGCAGAGACACCUUCCUCGGUCUGGAGGGAGAGGUCAGGUGCUGCCGGUGGAGCGGGCGAGUCCUGGAUGGACCGAAAUGCAUCCUCUCCUCUCUUGCCAGCACUUUGGUCCCCGCUUCCUGCCUUUGUUCCAAGGGUUGGCCCUGACUCCCUCUGGCUGGAGGGAGAACCCCCGGUGAUACAGGCUUGCAAGCAGCGUCCCCGCCUUCGCCCGGGGCUGCGGGCUUCUGCGUGCCUUGCUCGCGGGAGCUGCGCUGCGACCGCGAAGGUGCGGCCGAGCCCCCGGUUCUCUUGUUUGACGUCAGGCCACCUUGGCCGUGGUUUCGGAAGGAAAAGUGCAGACGUCGGGUGUGGUGUAUUGUCAAGGGCGGGAGGUGGGACAGCAAGCGCGGGCGCGGCGUGUUGGCUGUCCCACCAUGGCCGGCGAGUCCCCGCACGUCCCUGGGGCUGGAGCCAGAAGACCGGGCGCUGCGGGCGCCGGGACAGCGGCCUUCAUUGUCCUUCUUCGCCACCGUUUCGUUUUACACGAGUUUGAGACGCAAGCGAGGCAGUGGGGUUUCACUUCAGACUCGUCCAUCAUUUUGCAAAGAACGCUGAACGGAGUUUCCAAAGGAUGCUGUAACCUGGAGGAUAAGGACCCUCCCUCCCCUCAGCCUGGGAAAAGAGUGCGGUUUCCUUCAUACAGCCUUUCCUCUAAAGGAGCCUGCCGCAUUGUGUCCUUAUAUUUUGCAGUGAAUACCCCUUUUUUUGGUCUCCUUUUGUACUCAUAAUUCAAAAAGAAUCUCGGGCAACUUUUUCUGCAAAUGCCACUGAGCACAAGAAUUAUAGAGCAUCCUCAGCCCUUAAGUUGUUUGCCUCUAGAAUUUCAUUAGCACUGCCUUCCUGUUGAAAUGAGAAAAUGUAUUUUAAAAUUAAAAUAUCAUUAUAGCAAAUUUGAUUUUUUUUUAAAAACCAGAAAAGUAAUGAGAAGAAAAAAGAAACUGUACUCCAAUAAUUCAGAGAUAUUUGUCCUUCUUGGCAUAGAUUUGUUUGUUUGGGGGGAUUAUGUUGUAUGUACAAUUUGGUACCUUCUUAACUUUUAAAAAUAUGUUGUUUUAGUUCAUAUUACUAAAGUAAAUUAUGUUCAAAAGAAAACAUGGAAAGUACAGAAAAAUAGAAAGAAAAAACAUCACCCCGAAUGCCAGUACCAAGGAAGAAACACUAUUAAACAAAUUGUAUGUCUGUAUUUGUCUUAAAAUAACACCAUACCUCAUUUUGUAACCCACAUUUUGUAUUUAACCAUGUAUAAUGGGCAUUUUCUUAUGUCAAAUAAAAAUCUUUAUGAUUUUUAGAGUCUGCAUAAUAUUCUAUCAGAUGAAUUAACCAUAACAGUUCUCUUACUAUUGGACACCAAAUUUGUUUGCCGUGUUUUGCUGUGAUAGAUAAUGUUGACAUGACUACUUCUCUACAAAAAGCUUUUAACAUAUUUCUGUAAAAUAAGGUUUACAAUGAAUGUGAACUUUUUAUGUUUAUUGAGACAUAUUUGACUCCCCAAAUUGCUGAGUUAAUGGCGUUCCAUCUUGAGCCUUCUAAUGACUGUGCAUCAGCAUUCCACCUGAGGUCAAGUCUCUUCUACUUUGCCCUCACUUUUCAAAAUUUUUUUUUGAAAAUUAUAAAUCAUAUAUUCUAAGUAUAUUGUUUUCUAUAUGGAGGUGUGCCUAAUAACUAC